RNAcentral lists this ribosomal RNA (692 nucleotides) under Idiomarina sp. LC6R10. RNAcentral describes it as "bacterial SSU rRNA". It matches the Rfam family "Bacterial small subunit ribosomal RNA", at positions 391 to 1075 of the family's 1533-position model. The record is from RNAcentral. Lineage: Bacteria; Pseudomonadati; Pseudomonadota; Gammaproteobacteria; Alteromonadales; Idiomarinaceae.
GCCAUGCCGCGUGUGUGAAGAAGGCCUUAGGGUUGUAAAGCACUUUCAGUGGUGAGGAAGGCGUUGUAGUUAAUAGCUGCAACGAUUGACGUUAGCCACAGAAGAAGCACCGGCUAACUCCGUGCCAGCAGCCGCGGUAAUACGGAGGGUGCGAGCGUUAAUCGGAAUUACUGGGCGUAAAGCGCACGUAGGCGGCUUGUUAAGCAAGAUGUGAAAGCCCAGGGCUCAACCUUGGAAUUGCAUUUUGAACUGGCAAGCUAGAGUUUUGAAGAGGGUGGUAGAAUUUCCAGUGUAGCGGUGAAAUGCGUAGAUAUUGGAAGGAAUACCAGUGGCGAAGGCGGCCACCUGGUCAAAAACUGACGCUGAGGAGCGAAAGCGUGGGGAGCAAACAGGAUUAGAUACCCUGGUAGUCCACGCCGUAAACGAUGUCGACUAGUUGUUCGUGUCUUUAAGAUGUGAGUAACGCAGCUAACGCACUAAGUCGACCGCCUGGGGAGUACGGCCGCAAGGUUAAAACUCAAAUGAAUUGACGGGGGCCCGCACAAGCGGUGGAGCAUGUGGUUUAAUUCGAUGCAACGCGAAGAACCUUACCAUCCCUUGACAUCCAGAGAAUUAUCUAGAGAUAGAUGAGUGCCUUCGGGAACUCUGAGACAGGUGCUGCAUGGCUGUCGUCAGCUCGUGUUGUGAGAUGU